RNAcentral lists this ribosomal RNA (443 nucleotides) under uncultured bacterium. Its description in RNAcentral is "partial 16S ribosomal RNA". It matches the Rfam family "Bacterial small subunit ribosomal RNA", at positions 338 to 795 of the family's 1533-position model. The record is from RNAcentral.
CCUACGGUGGUCAGCAGUGGGGAAUAUUGGGCAAUGGACGCAAGCCUGACCCAGCAAUGCCGCGUGAAGGACGCAGGCCCUCGGGUUGUAAACUUCUUUUAUCAAGUACGAAACACAUGACGGUACUUGAUGAAUAAGCCACGGCUAACUACGUACCAGCCGCCGCGGUAAUACGUAGGUGGCAAGCGUUAUCCGGAUGAACGGGGGGUAAGGGGCGUGUAGGCGGGACUGCAAGUCAGAUGUGAAAACCAUGGGAUCAACACAUGGCCUGCAUUUGAAACUGUAGUUCUUGAGUGUUGGAGAGGCAGGAGGAAUUCCGUGUGUAGCGGUGAAAUGCGUAGAUAUACGGAGGAACACCAGUGGCGAAGGUGGCCUGCUGGACAAUAACUGACGCUGAGGCGCGAAAGCGUGGGGAGCAAACAGGAUUAGAUACCCCAGUAGUC